GGAAGUAAAAGUGUAACAAGGUUUCCGUAGGUGAACCUGCGGAAGGAUCAUUAUUGUAUAACCGAGGUGCGAGGGCUGUCGCUGACCCGAAAGGUCGUGCACGCCCGAGUGCCCUCACACACAUCCAUCUCACCCCUAUGUGCACCACCGCGUGGGUCCCCCUUUGGCUUGUUCGGAGGGGGGCUUACGUUUUCACACAAACUUUGUAUGCAGUGUAGAAUGUAUUUUUUGUUUUUGCGAUCACGCAAUCAAUACAACUUUCAACAACGGAACUCUUGGCUCUC
This 284-nucleotide unclassified non-coding RNA is filed under the name plant metagenome. RNAcentral describes it as "partial contains small subunit ribosomal RNA and internal transcribed spacer 1". The stretch from base 1 to 53 matches the Rfam family "Eukaryotic small subunit ribosomal RNA", at positions 1778 to 1831 of the family's 1831-position model. The record is from RNAcentral.